UGGGGAGCGAACAGGAUUAGAUACCCUGGUAGUCCACGCCGUAAACGUUGGGAACUAGGUGUUGGCGACAUUCCACGUCGCCGGUGCCGCAACUAACGCAUUAAGUUCCCCGCCUGGGGAGUACGGCCGCAAGGCUAAAACUCAAAGGAAUUAACGGGGGCCCGCACAAGCAGCGGAGCAUGUGGCUUAAUUAGACGCAACAAGAAGAACCUUACCAAGGAUUGACAUAUACCGGAAAGCAUCACAGAUGGUGCCCCCCUUGUGGUCGACAUACAGGCGGAGCAUGGAUGUCGGCAGCUCGCGCCGGGAGAUGUAGGGUUAAGUCCCGCAACGAGCGCAACCCUUGUUAUGUGUUGCCAGCAUGCCCUUAGGGGUGAUGGGCACUCACAGGAGACUGCAGGGCUCAACUCGAAGGAAGGUGGGGACGACGUCAACUCAUCAUGCCCCUUAUGUAUGGGGCUGCACACGUGCUACAAUGCACGGUACAAUGAGCUGCGAUGCCGCGAGGCGGAGCGAAUCUCAAAAAGCCGGUCUCAGUUAGGAUGGGGGACUGCAACUAGACCCCAUGAAGUAGGAGGUGAUAGUAAUCACAGAUCAGCAAUCAUGCGGUGAAUAA
This 616-nucleotide ribosomal RNA is filed under the name Streptomyces sp. LEN02. RNAcentral's name for it is "bacterial SSU rRNA". It matches the Rfam family "Bacterial small subunit ribosomal RNA", at positions 762 to 1369 of the family's 1533-position model. The record is from RNAcentral. Lineage: Bacteria; Bacillati; Actinomycetota; Actinomycetes; Kitasatosporales; Streptomycetaceae.